Non-coding RNA from Kogia breviceps (pygmy sperm whale), 305 nucleotides. The record is from RefSeq and is a predicted model, not a curated record. Lineage: Eukaryota; Metazoa; Chordata; Mammalia; Artiodactyla; Physeteridae.
AAUCCAAGAAGGGUAGAGCAAAUACUCAGGAGCAGACAUACCACAGGAAUAUUGAAUGAGGCACUGCCACUGCUUCAGAUUGCUUUUUUCCGCUGGGUCCGUGAGCAUAGAGGGUCACUCCGCCAGAAUCCUAGAGCGACCGCGCGGCUCAGGCGAACAGCUCGGCCUGCACUUCCGGCGGCGCAAAGGGCGCGGGGCGAGCGAGCGAGGGCGGCGGCGGGCUGGCGCGAAAAUUCUGAGCUGUGUAGCUCUAGGAAGUGAAACAUUCAUUCAGAAGAAGAGUGUAGACUCUUAAGAAUACAUUU